GAUGAACGCUGGCGGCGUGCCUAAUACAUGCAAGUCGAGCGAACAGACGAGGAGCUUGCUCCUCUGACGUUAGCGGCGGACGGGUGAGUAACACGUGGAUAACCUACCUAUAAGACUGGGAUAACUUCGGGAAACCGGAGCUAAUACCGGAUAAUAUAUUGAACCGCAUGGUUCAAUAGUGAAAGACGGUUUUGCUGUCACUUAUAGAUGGAUCCGCGCCGCAUUAGCUAGUUGGUAAGGUAACGGCUUACCAAGGCAACGAUGCGUAGCCGACCUGAGAGGGGGGUCGGCCACACUGGAACUGGGACACGGUCCAGACUCCUACGGGAGGCAGCAGUAGGGAAUCUUCCGCAAUGGGCGAAAGCUUGACGGAGCAACGCCGCGUGAGUGAUGAAGGUCCUCCGAUCGUAAAACUCUGUUAUUAGGGAAGAACAAAUGUGUAAGUAACUAUGCACGUCUUGACGGUACCUAAUCAGAAAGCCACGGCUAACUACGUG
RNAcentral lists this ribosomal RNA (497 nucleotides) under uncultured bacterium. RNAcentral's name for it is "partial 16S ribosomal RNA". It matches the Rfam family "Bacterial small subunit ribosomal RNA", at positions 28 to 507 of the family's 1533-position model. The record is from RNAcentral.